UACGUAGGGCGCAAGCGUUGUCCGGAAUUAUUGGGCGUAAAGAGCUCGUAGGCGGCUUGUCACGUCGGGUGUGAAAGCCCGGGGCUUAACCCCGGGUCUGCAUUCGAUACGGGCAGGCUAGAGUGUGGUAGGGGAGAUCGGAAUUCCUGGUGUAGCGGUGAAAUGCGCAGAUAUCAGGAGGAACACCGGUGGCGAAGGCGGAUCGCUGGGCCAUUACUGACGCUGAGGAGCGAAAGCGUGGGGAGCGAACAGG
This 253-nucleotide ribosomal RNA is filed under the name uncultured bacterium. RNAcentral describes it as "partial 16S ribosomal RNA". It matches the Rfam family "Bacterial small subunit ribosomal RNA", at positions 524 to 776 of the family's 1533-position model. The record is from RNAcentral.